This is a long non-coding RNA of Numida meleagris (helmeted guineafowl), 1699 nucleotides long. RefSeq lists it as uncharacterized. Lineage: Eukaryota; Metazoa; Chordata; Aves; Galliformes; Numididae. The record is from RefSeq and is a predicted model, not a curated record. The transcript has 4 exons.
GGGCGGGCUCGCAGCGCCGCCCGGCGGGCACAGCGCCUGCCCCGGGGCUGCGGGCCGUGCUGGGAGCCGCAAGUCAGUGCAAUAUGAAGGCUACAACACAACUCCAGCUUGGACUUUUUUUGUCCUUUUCACUCCAUCUGCUGGACUACCAGAAUUACUUAUGCCCAGACAUGCCCCUCCAGAUACCAAGGAUAUGUACUGAUUGACGUGAGGAGGAAGCUGAGUCAGCAGGAGUAACUGCUGCAAAUCCUUGACAGAACUGCAACGCAAUUUGGACAUCCAUGUUUCUAAUCUCACUCUUAGCCGCAAGACCAAGCUUAGUCCUUGUUCCUGUACUCAAUGACAAAAUUCUGUAUGCUCAUGGAAUGUCACAGCUAUACCUCUGCUCUCAAGCAGUGGGACUGAGCGCACUCUGGAAGCCUUCAACACUUUCCAGCUCAAGCAAAAAACAGCACUCGUAAGACAAGAAAUUUUGCUCUAAGACUGAGCGUAGUGAUUUAGCAAUAAUAGUCUCUAACUUCUUCAUUAUGGAGAAUGGCCAUGGGUUUGAGCUCUAUCUGAACAGCAGACAUUCAACAAGCAAUCUGAAGAACUGCAGUGCUAUGACCAGCAAAUGGGAAAGCGAGGACUCCCAUCAACGCAGCUCAUCCUUCACUCACCGGCGGCAAAACAAACUGCAUUCAAGUUAGCAUGAGCAAACAGCAGCUCUGUACCAGCUACAUCUCCUUUGUGCUUUGGAAAGCGUAAGUUAAUUCAGUGUGGAGAUAGAUCAUCUGCUUUCUCUGACUGUGAAUCUCACACAGGAUUGUAUUCCCACCUGUCAAAACACCGCCAACUUUCUAUUUUGCUGUAAUGCCUCUGCUUUCUGCCAAAUAGAGUCUUUCCCUUUUUGUCUAGCAACAGCACUAUGCCUUCAAUUAGCAUGUUAUUUCUCUCCUUUGCAGCUAAGACCUAUGUAGGGCAGUCCAAGCGUCUACACCUAUAAGUUGGGAGAAGAGGUCAACCCAACUUGGAUGUUUCAUGCUAAAGGUCUUGUGAUAGAGAAGGACCUCCUUGUACACAAAACACGUUUGGGACCCUCACAAAGGACUCCUGGAAAGGAGCCCUAUGCCAUCACUAGCACUAACGAGAUCUUUAUGUUAGCACAAACGAGUUACAAUAGCAACAUGUUAGAAACUUUGUUUCCACAGUUGUUGCCUUUAAAUCAUUCUUCAGUGUCAAACUACCCAAAUGUCUCUGCUUUUCAGUUCAAGAGUAAGUGUAUCCAUUAAAAUAAAGUACUAGAAGACAAACAUCACUGCCGAAAUAUUUGCACUGCAAUCUCUGGGCAUACAGUGAAGCACAGCCUGAAAAUAUUUGCAGCAGAAUAAUUGUGGAUAGACUUGUCCCAUUCCAUAUGCUUGUCACAGAACUCUUUAAUUUUAUAAUGCUUGCGUCUUUGUGGCUCCCCAAGCACAACAUAUGUUAGUUUAAUGAUAGAGUUGCACUACACUGAGAUUUCUAACUGCGUGUAACCUCUAUUUGUGGGGACCCUCCUUCCUACAAGCACAUGAAUGUGGCAAUGAUGUGGUUUUAUGCUUUGUAUGGUCAUUUGAUAUCGAGCACUCUGGUUAAAAGGAAAAUACUUUCUUGAAUUAUGGAUAUUAGACCAGGACUAUUUUGGGGAAUGCGAUUACCCAGCAGAAGUGCUGGAACUGAA